GAUGAAGAACGCAGUGAAAUGCGAUACGUAGUGUGAAUUGCAGAAUUCAGUGAAUCAUCGAAUCUUUGAACGCACAUUGCACCUCUCGGUAUUCCGGGAGGUAUGCCUGUUCGAGCGUCAUUUGUACCCUCAAGCUCUGCUUGGUGUUGGGUGUUUGUUCCGCCUCUGUGUGUGAACUCGCCUCAAAACAAUUGGCAGCCGGCGUACUUGUUUCGGAGCGCAGCACAUUUUGCGAUCCAGAUCAACGUACAGCGGCAUCCAAGAAGCCUUAUUUAACGCUCUUGACCUCGGAUCAGGUAGGGAUACCCGCUGAACUUAAGCAUAUCAAAAGCGGAGGA
Molecule: unclassified non-coding RNA, 338 nt
Filed under: soil metagenome
Description: partial contains 5.8S ribosomal RNA, internal transcribed spacer 2, and large subunit ribosomal RNA
Rfam family: 5.8S ribosomal RNA (bases 1-120)
Source: RNAcentral